GCAAACCUGUUGAAAUGCAGUGACGCAAAGCCAAUGGGUCUAAGGCGUACAGCUAUGACAGCCGGUUGCUG
Molecule: non-coding RNA, 71 nt
Filed under: human gut metagenome
Description: Cyclic di-GMP-I riboswitch
Rfam family: c-di-GMP-I riboswitch aptamer
About the family: GEMM was predicted in a large-scale screen for bacterial structured RNA regulatory elements. Genes associated with GEMM are involved in a diverse array of functions, including chemotaxis regulation, signal transduction, secretion and chitin.
Source: RNAcentral